ACUUAAAGACAAUAACUUAUAUGAUCCUUGGAACCAUGCAUGGCCGUAUUAUGGGGGUUUUGAUUGCACGUACUGCAGCCUAAAGCACAAAGGUGGAGGUGCAACCCGUGUCGCGGAGCACCUUGGUGGUAUUGUAGGUAAUGUGAGGAGCUGCCCCAAUGUGCCAAGAAAUGUGAGAGAUGCAAUGAGAGAGUGCCGGGAUGAAUCAAGGAGGAAGAAAAGAGACAAACAAAAUAGCAGGCUGAGAAUUGAAAGAAAUAUUAUGGAAGGGUUGUAUAAAAAAGGAGGGGUGGUUAACGUACCAGAUGAUGAUGAAGAAGAAAUUCAGAUGAAUAUUAGAGAAGCAUUGCGUGACCCGAAUGUCUCUCGCAGAAUUGAAAGGAGAAUUGGCAAGGGGGGUGUGGGUGAUGUGCAUGUUUCUGUUGGUAAAAGGAGUAUCAGCGCCUAUUUUGACAGGCAAUUAUCUAGCAACAAAGUAUCUAUGCAGCCCAAGAUCAGUAGUGCUUUGGAUCCUAAUUCAAGAGAUGCACUUGGUCUAGCUUGGUCCAAGUUUUUUCAUGCCAAUGAUAUUGCUGGACGUAAAGCUGAUUGCCCAUACUUUCGAGCUGCUGUGAAGAUCACUCAACAAUUAGGGCCUAUUCCUAUGCAAUGGAAGAAGAUACAUUUAUGGUUGCAGGUAGUGAUAAAUGAUUCGGCCUUCGCAAUUUAUGUUUCUCUUUUUUUUGUUCUUUAACUCAUGUGGCUCUAUUGUUUUUCAGCUGCUGUCCUUGACCCAUAUACACAUUACAAGCUGAACCUUUGCAACCACACAGAUUAUGCCACUUCACUAACAGAUGCGAUAGCGAAGAUAUUAGACCCAGUGAGUGCUCUUUCAGCCAUUGAUGAAGUGAGCAAGUUCAGGGAGUGCCAAGGGAGGUUUGGGACCAGAUUGGCAGAAGAAGCUGCGGCGAGAAUGGGGCCAAGUAAGUUAUGGUGUUUUAGUUUUAGAAUUUCCAUUUCCUUUUGGUUUGCAUUCCUGAAAAUUUCAUUGGUGUUAUCUUGCAGCCCAAUGGUGGUUUCAGUUUGGAGGGGAUGUUCCUGCAUUGCAGAAAUGUGCAAUGAGAAUUUGCUCACAAUGUGUCUCCUCUAGUGGGUGUGAGAGAAAUUGGAGUGCUUUUGCUUUGGUGCACACAAAGCAAAGAAGUCGUCUUCUAUAUGACAAGCUCCACAAGCUAGUUUUUGUACGCUACAACUUAAAGGUAUAAACCAUCACUUUUACUUUCUACUUUGUGUUGUCCUUGCAUGUCAUAUAAUUUACUUGUUUACUAUUCAAACCUUGAAGAUACGUGCUGAAGAAGAUCAAGAGAAAGAGAGAGAUAUAGAUAAAGAAAUUGAUCCAAGUGCAUUGCUAAUGGAUACCACAAUGUUUGAUGAAACAAACCCAAUAAUGGAGUGGCUGAAUGAGGAUGUAGAGGAUCCGAUUGUGGAUGGAGCUGAU
Molecule: long non-coding RNA, 1477 nt
Filed under: Triticum aestivum (bread wheat)
Lineage: Eukaryota; Viridiplantae; Streptophyta; Magnoliopsida; Poales; Poaceae
Description: long non-coding RNA (TAES_LNC009549)
Source: RNAcentral